UACAGAGGGUGCGAGCGUUGUCCGGAAUCACUGGGCGUAAAGGGCGCGUAGGUGGCCCGACAAGUCAAUGGUGAAAGCUCGACGCUCAACGUCGAGUCGGCCGCUGAUACUGUUGGGCUGGAGCACUGUAGAGGCUCAUGGAAUUCCGGGUGUAGCGGUGGAAUGCGUAGAGAUCCGGAAGAACACCGGUGGCGAAGGCGGUGAGCUGGGCAGUAGCUGACACUGAGGCGCGACAGCGUGGGGAGCAAACAGG
Molecule: ribosomal RNA, 253 nt
Filed under: uncultured bacterium
Lineage: Bacteria
Description: partial 16S ribosomal RNA
Rfam family: Bacterial small subunit ribosomal RNA
Source: RNAcentral